CCGCCCCGCGCCGCCUCUCUGGUUUGUGCGCCCGUCGCAGGUCGCAGGCCUCUUUGUCAGCUGGAGUUGCGCGGGCUGACGCGCCACUAUGUAGCGGGUUUCGGGCGGGCCACGCGUGCGGGACAGGAACCCAACCCCAGCCGACCUUGAGCUCCAGGAGUUCGUCUCUUACGUCUGCGGAAGUGCAGCUGCCUCAGUUCUUAGCGCAGGUUGACAACUACAGGCACAAGCCAUUGAAGCUGGAAUGUCCUGUUGCUGGUAUUUCAAUUGACUUAAGCCAACUAUCCCUUCAGUUACAAUAGGAAAGUGCCUCUAAUAAGGCCAAAUAUGCGUACUAACUUGUAGCAACCACGUGUCCGUGCAGUGCCACAGGAGCUAGAGCAGUGACAAUGCUGGUGGCAACAGGGCAGUGUAGCAGGUGCUUCAUGUUCACCUUUUCAACCUUUUCAUUUAAUUGUCACAACUCGGAGGUGGAUUCUGUUAGGGACAGGCUGCCCCAGGACCACUCCGCCCCCGCUAACUCAAUGCAGCUGACCCUUACCCUGAAUACUCUGCAGCUGCAUUCCUGAACCGUUAUCUAGGCGCUAUAGCAAGGUCACCAGACUUGCUACACCGAAGCCCUCUGGGUGGCACGGGGGAGGUCAUGAGAAACGUGGAUUACACCCCCUUGUAAAUUCCUAUUUUCACAAGAUAAUAUAUUGUAAGCCGGUCAUGAGAUUAUAUGUGGUAAAGUUAAUUGACUAACAACCCCAGGGUCUCUCUCCCCCAUAUAAACCCCUCAUUUUGUAAGCUCAGGGCUGCCACCUCCGACUGGUGGAGAAGCCUGGCAGGUUAAUAAACUUACUUGGCCUGACCUUGGGUCUCUUGUCUUUUCUCUCGGCUAACCUUACAGAUUCUAUUCUCCCAUUUCACAGGUAAAGAAAUGGAUUAGUGAUAACUCAAGUUUCAUCACCUCAGAUUGGAAGAUGCUGGCCUUGAAGAUCAGAGUGAGGCAGCCCCCAGGAGCUGGGAGAUGCCAAGGAACACAUUCCCCAUCAGAGCCUCCUGAGGAGCAUCAUUUGAUUUGGCUCAGUGAAACUGAUUUCUGACUUCUGGCCUUCAGAACUGAGAAUAAAUUGCUGUUUUAAGCCACCAAGUUAUAAUUUGUUACAGCAGCCUCUAAGAUCACAAAUAUAGCUGGGGCAAGAACCCCACCACCUCAGCCUUCCUCCCUUGUUUUUAUUAGUGCCGUGUGGGUGGUUGGGAGUAGAUCCUAUGUAUAUUCAUUAGUCCUUUUUAUUUUAUUUUAUUUUAUUGAGAGAGUCUCACUCUGUCGCCCAGGCUGGAGUGCAGUGGCGCGAUCUCGGCUCACUGCAAGCUCCGCCUCCUGGGUUCAUGCUGUUCUCCUGCCUCAGCCUCCCGAGAGCUGGGACUACAGGCGCCCGCCACCACGCCCGGCUACUUUUUUGUAUUUUUAGUAGAGACGGGUUUUCACCGUGUUAGCCAGGGUGGUUUCGAUCUCCUGACCUUGUGAUGCACCUGCCUCAGCCUCCCAAAGUGCUGGGAUUACAGGCAUGAGCCACCGCGCCCGGCCCAUUAGUCAUUUUUUAAAGGUAUAACCAUGAAUUUAAAAUGUAUUUAGACUUUAAUCUUGAGAUACAUGAGCAUGUGCAUGUGGCUAAAAUAUGUGGGGUCAGCACAUACCUCCUAAUAAAGCAUUGUGAAAAGUAAGGAAUCAAUUUAUGGUUUAUUGGAAAGUCACUUAUGCACACUUGUAUUUAUACAGCACAAGACACCACAUUUUAAAAAUUCAAUAACUGAAGCAAAUUAAGACAAUAGGAAAAGCAUUCUAAUUAUAAUUUUUGCCCUGCGGGCUGUACAGCUUCAGCCAGCAGUGUCCUGGAGGUAAUACAAACUGCUAAAGUGAGAUAAUGUUUUCAUAAACCUCAGUUUUGGUUUGUGUUUUAAGAAAUGUAAACUUGAAUCUCGGCAAGAGAAGGUUCUCAAAAUUUGGCACAAAGGGAGCAUCUGUCAGCCUAUUAGGUGUUUUUGGUGUAUGAAACAUGAGAUGUAAAAGAGG
This 2059-nucleotide long non-coding RNA is filed under the name Homo sapiens (human). Its description in RNAcentral is "HSALNT0319600". The record is from RNAcentral. Lineage: Eukaryota; Metazoa; Chordata; Mammalia; Primates; Hominidae.